GAUGAAGAACGCAGCGAAAUGCGAUAAGUAAUGUGAAUUGCAGAAUUCAGUGAAUCAUCGAAUCUUUGAACGCACAUUGCGCCCCCUGGUAUUCCGGGGGGCAUGCCUGUCCGAGCGUCAUUACAACCCUCAAGCUCAGCUUGGUGUUGGGCCCCGCCGCCCCGGCGGGUCCUAAAGUCAGUGGCGGUGCCGUCCGGCUCCGAGCGUAGUAAUUCUUCUCGCUCUGGAGGUCCGGUCGUGUGCUCGCCAGCAACCCCCAAUUUUUUUCAGGUUGACCUCGGAUCAGGUAGGGAUACCCGCUGAACUUAAGCAUAUCAAUAAGCGGAGGA
RNAcentral lists this unclassified non-coding RNA (329 nucleotides) under soil metagenome. RNAcentral's name for it is "partial contains 5.8S ribosomal RNA, internal transcribed spacer 2, and large subunit ribosomal RNA". The stretch from base 1 to 120 matches the Rfam family "5.8S ribosomal RNA", at positions 35 to 154 of the family's 154-position model. The record is from RNAcentral.